AUGUAUGGUUUUAACAAUCCAAACCAGGCUGAGGCUACUUUCUCGUGGUCUGGUCGUCUAACUUCCAACGCCAUGAUUACAGGUAUGCCUCAUAUUGUUUGCGGUCCAGUGGAAACGCCGUAUGGAGUCUCUGCGAGUUGUUGGCGGGAAAGAGUGCCAGUCUUCCUGCCUGGAUGCGAGACGCAUACAGAUACUCAAACAGCAGUCAGACCUUCUGUUUUAGAGUACUUGUUCAAGCCAGGCUUCUCAGCACCGAUGCCGCUCCCUCGGUCGUACACCAGCCCUGAUGAGGAGGAGCUCUUGAUUGAGAAGGAGCAAUCCUUUGAAGCUGAAGAAGAAAAAGAACAAGACGGAUCUGUGGACCCUGAAGACGUUAAAGGCUGGGAUGAGGGUAUCAGCCUUCAGGACGCCGCCAGUGUGGACGCCAUUGACUCCCUCCAUCCCGAACACCGUGCUUCAGACAAGCAGGUCAUGGAAGGAAGCAAGUCCAGUGCAGCAGGAUGUUCUAAUGGGUUCUAGUAAGCUUCAUCUAUCUGUGCACUAGAGCUCAGACUUUGUUGUGGUGACUUGAUAAUAAAAGUGUCAAACAAGAACCUUGAAGUGGUUAAUAACAACAAGGACAGAGACUUUAUUGAUGAAACCUAUGCUCACUCUAAAGGAAAACCUUGAAAAAAAGGUUAAGGACUGAUAUAUAUUUCAACUGAUGUAUAUUUCAGCCUACACUAAGUAAUAUUGUCUGACAUCAAAAGGAAAUAAAGAAGAAAUUAAGGAUCAAGGAGAAAUGUCUGAAAAACAGCGACAAAGAAAAUCCCCCAGUGGAAGGAUCAGGAACAAGGAUGUGGACAUGCAGGGGUCAUGACCCCUGUGAAGGCAAAAGGGCCAACAAGUGCUAAGCAUUCUGGGAACUCCUUCAAGACUGUUGGAAGACCAUUUCAGGUGACUACCUCUAGAAGCUCAUCAAGAGAAUGCCAAGACUGUGCAAAGCAGUGAUAAAAGCAAAAGGUGGCUACUAUGAAAAACCUACAAUAUUAUAUAUUUUCAGUUGUUUACACUUUUGUUAUGUAUAUAAUUCUACAUGUGAUAAUUCACAGUGUUGAUGGCUUCAGUGUGACUCUACAAUUUUCAUAGUCAUGAAUAUAAAGAAAACUCUUUGAAUGAGAAGGUGUGCCCAACUUUUGGUCUGUACUGUACAUUCAAUAUGAAAAAACUAGUUAAAUUAAAAAGAAAAAAAAUCAUUAUUAAACUUUAACAGAGAAAGUUAAUUCAUAGAGUAUAAUUUAUAAAGGAGAAAUUGCGGAUUAUUUUAAAUUCUUUUAAUAUGUAAUAAAUGCAAUAGACAUUAAUUUGGGUUAAAAUUCAAAAUGUAAUUUUUUAUCAAAUUCACUCAUUUUCUAAUCUGUUUAUUCCUUUCGGGGUCACGGGGCUUCUUAUUAAAUACAAGAAAAAAUUGAAAAUCAUAACACAGCAAUAGAUAAUGAAUGAGCAUUUAUUAAAAAUAAGUUUCAUAUAAUAAGGAAUACGCUGGUU
Molecule: long non-coding RNA, 1527 nt
Filed under: Oryzias sinensis (Chinese medaka)
Lineage: Eukaryota; Metazoa; Chordata; Actinopteri; Beloniformes; Adrianichthyidae
Description: lncRNA (ENSOSIG00000010029.1)
Source: RNAcentral